RNAcentral lists this microRNA precursor (63 nucleotides) under Anolis carolinensis (green anole). RNAcentral describes it as "Aca-Mir-196-P1_pre stem-loop". Lineage: Eukaryota; Metazoa; Chordata; Lepidosauria; Squamata; Anolidae. The record is from RNAcentral.
UAGGUAGUUUCAUGUUGUUGGGGCUAUGGCUCUCUCUUUCUCGACAGCACGAAACUGCCUUCA